RNAcentral lists this ribosomal RNA (253 nucleotides) under uncultured bacterium. RNAcentral describes it as "partial 16S ribosomal RNA". It matches the Rfam family "Bacterial small subunit ribosomal RNA", at positions 524 to 776 of the family's 1533-position model. The record is from RNAcentral.
UACGAAGGGGGCUAGCGUUGUUCGGAGUUACUGGGCAUAAAGCGCAUGUAGGCGGGUCGUUAAGUCGGGGGUGAAAGCCCAGAGCUCAACUCUGGAACUGCCUUCGAUACUGGCGACCUGGACCCAAGGAGAGGCGAGUGGAAUUGCGAGUGUAGAGGUGAAAUUCGUAGAUAUUCGCAGGAACACCAGUGGCGAAGGGGACUCGCUGGACUUGUGGUGACGCUGAGAUGCGAAAGCGUGGGGAGCAAACAGG